This 469-nucleotide ribosomal RNA is filed under the name uncultured bacterium. RNAcentral describes it as "bacterial SSU rRNA". It matches the Rfam family "Bacterial small subunit ribosomal RNA", at positions 28 to 507 of the family's 1533-position model. The record is from RNAcentral.
GAUGAACGCUAGCGGCAGGCCUAAUACAUGCAAGUCGAACGGAGCCUUCGGGCUUAGUGGCGCACGGGUGCGUAACACGUAUGCAACCUACCUUACAUUGGGGGAUAGCCUUUCGAAAGGGAGAUUAAUACCGCAUAAGACAGUAACAUGGCAUCAUGUAGCUGUUAAAGAUUUAUCGAUGUAAGCUGGGCAUGCGUCCAAUUAGUUAGUUGGUGAGGUAACGGCUCACCAAGACGAUGAUUGGUAGGGGAACUGAGAGGUCAAUCCCCCACACUGGCACUGAGAUACGGGCCAGACUCCUACGGGAGGCAGCAGUAGGGAAUAUUGGGCAAUGGGCGCAAGCCUGACCCAGCCAUGCCGCGUGCAGGAAGAAGGCGUUCUGCGUUGUAAACUGCUUUUAUAUAGGAAGAAACGACCCUUGCGAGGGGCAUUGACGGUAUUAUAUGAAUAAGCACCGGCUAACUCCGUG